This 1217-nucleotide unclassified non-coding RNA is filed under the name Hevea brasiliensis (rubber tree). The record is from RNAcentral. Lineage: Eukaryota; Viridiplantae; Streptophyta; Magnoliopsida; Malpighiales; Euphorbiaceae.
CCGCCCACGUUAUUUCAAACACCUUCCAGCCUCACACAUUUCUACUCGCACACACACAUGCUCAUCUUCUUCCACUAUAUCUCUAUUCCCUUUCUCUUUUUCAGAAUCUCACGAAGCCAUAAUUAAUAUGUAUAUUAGUGACCAAAUGCUGUUGCAGUGUCCUCCUAGGCCCUUGCCCAUGGAGAGAAAAUGGAAACCUCAGGUCGAAGUUGCUCCCAAUUGUCCUCGUUGUGCCUCUUCCAACACCAAAUUCUGUUAUUACAAUAACUACAGCUUGUCUCAGCCUAGGUACUUUUGUAAAGGUUGUCGACGGUAUUGGACUAAAGGUGGCUCUCUAAGGAAUGUUCCUGUCGGUGGUGGUUGUCGGAAAACUCGCAGAGCUAAGCCCGUUAGAGUCUCGCAGAAUGAUGGUAGAAUUAAUGGGUCGAGUGAAAAAUCAAUGGUUCAAGAAAGUGGAACCACUGGGUCGUCUUCUGAAAUAGAUCUUGCUGUUGUUUUCGCUAAGUUCUUGAAUCAAGACUCGAGUUUUCAUCCUGAAUUUAAAGCUCAAGAAUUGCCUAAUGAGACCAGUACUGUAAAAAAUUCUUCAACACCUGAUAGUGCUGCGAUUGAAUGCGAUGACAAGUUCACAGAUCUGAUACAAGAAUCUGAUUUAUUACUUGAAGAGCUACCUCCAGUUCUUGUAAGAGAUCACAAGCAACAAGAAGGUCAAGAAAGAAUUCAGGAACUCAUAGAAAGUCAAGAUAUGGAUGCAUUUGGAUUGCAAACUUUGCUUGGAGAUGAAGUAGUGCAAGAUGCUUUGUGGUCUGAAGCUGCAACCUUGCCAAAUAUUACGUGGGAAACUGUACAACCACAACAGGAAUUUUGGUCAUUCUCAGUGGAUGAUCAGCUAAAGUUUUCUGCCAAUCUUAUGAGCGAUAAUGCUUGGAGUUCUUUUGAUUUCUCUGGGUUUGAGGUUCCUUCAAGACCUUCACGUAUACUAUAAAUUUACAGGAUUUUUGUUAUUGUCCUUCUUGAAGGAAUUGAGCUUGAUGUUUUACUGUUAAUUUCCCAAGAAAAAAAUUAAAAAGAAUCAUGGUGUAGAUCAUACAUAUAAAAAGCAUAGUGCAAUAAAAUGAUGUAUACUGGAGAAGUUUUAAAUAAAUAAGAUUAAAUGGAGUGUGUGAAAAAAAUAAUUGAUAAAAAAAUGUGUAUUUUUUUAAAAAAUGAGUUGCAAU